Molecule: ribosomal RNA, 735 nt
Filed under: uncultured bacterium
Lineage: Bacteria
Description: bacterial SSU rRNA
Rfam family: Bacterial small subunit ribosomal RNA
Source: RNAcentral
GACGAACGCUGGCGGCGCGCCUAACACAUGCAAGUCGAACGAGCGAAAGAGAGCUUGCUUUCUUGAGCGAGUGGCGAACGGGUGAGUAACGCGUGAGGAACCUGCCUCAAAGAGGGGGACAACAGUUGGAAACGACUGCUAAUACCGCAUAAGCCCACGAUCCGGCAUCGGGUUGAGGGAAAAGGAGCAAUCCGCUUUGAGAUGGCCUCGCGUCCGAUUAGCUAGUUGGUGAGGUAACGGCCCACCAAGGCGACGAUCGGUAGCCGGACUGAGAGGUUGAACGGCCACAUUGGGACUGAGACACGGCCCAGACUCCUACGGGAGGCAGCAGUGGGGAAUAUUGCACAAUGGGGGAAACCCUGAUGCAGCGACGCCGCGUGGAGGAAGAAGGUCUUCGGAUUGUAAACUCCUGUUGUUGAGGAAGAUGAUGACGGUACUCAACAAGGAAGUGACGGCUAACUACGUGCCAGCAGCCGCGGUAAAACGUAGGUCACAAGCGUUGUCCGGAAUUACUGGGUGUAAAGGGAGCGCAGGCGGGAAAGCAAGUUGGAAGUGAAAUCCAUGGGCUCAACCCAUGAACUGCUUUCAAAACUGUUUUUCUUGAGUAGUGCAGAGGUAGGCGGAAUUCCCGGUGUAGCGGUGGAAUGCGUAGAUAUCGGGAGGAACACCAGUGGCGAAGGCGGCCUACUGGGCACCAACUGACGCUGAGGCUCGAAAGUGUGGGUAGCAAACAGG